UGGAUGGACUCGCGGCCUAUCAGCUUGUUGGUGAGGUAAUGGCUCACCAAGGCGACGACGGGUAGCCGGCCUGAGAGGGUGACCGGCCACACUGGGACUGAGACACGGCCCAGACUCCUACGGGAGGCAGCAGUGGGGAAUAUUGCACAAUGGGCGCAAGCCUGAUGCAGCGACGCCGCGUGAGGGAUGACGGCCUUCGGGUUGUAAACCUCUUUCAGUAGGGAAGAAGCGAAAGUGACGGUACCUGCAGAAGAAGCGCCGGCUAACUACGUGCCAGCAGCCGCGGUAAUACGUAGGGCGCAAGCGUUAUCCGGAAUUAUUGGGCGUAAAGAGCUCGUAGGCGGUUUGUCGCGUCUGCCGUGAAAGUCCGGGGCUCAACUCCGGAUCUGCGGUGGGUACGGGCAGACUAGAGUGAUGUAGGGGAGACUGGAAUUCCUGGUGUAGCGGUGAAAUGCGCAGAUAUCAGGAGGAACACCGAUGGCGAAGGCAGGUCUCUGGGCAUUAACUGACGCUGAGGAGCGAAAGCAUGGGGAGCGAACAGGAUUAGAUACCCUGGUAGUCCAUGCCGUAAACGUUGGGCACUAGGUGUGGGGGACAUUCCACGUUUUCCGCGCCGUAGCUAACGCAUUAAGUGCCCCGCCUGGG
RNAcentral lists this ribosomal RNA (645 nucleotides) under soil bacterium A11. RNAcentral describes it as "bacterial SSU rRNA". It matches the Rfam family "Bacterial small subunit ribosomal RNA", at positions 222 to 877 of the family's 1533-position model. RNAcentral also lists the same sequence under 1 other name. The record is from RNAcentral.